This 456-nucleotide ribosomal RNA is filed under the name uncultured soil bacterium. Its description in RNAcentral is "bacterial SSU rRNA". It matches the Rfam family "Bacterial small subunit ribosomal RNA", at positions 923 to 1379 of the family's 1533-position model. The record is from RNAcentral.
GCACAAGCGGUGGAGCAUGUGGUUUAAUUCGACGCGACGCGAAGAACCUUACCAGGGCUUGACAUGCACCGGAAUGUCGGGGAAACCCGGCAGCCCUUCGGGGCCGGUACACAGGUGGUGCAUGGCUGUCGUCAGCCCGUGCCGUGAGGUGUUGGGUUAAGUCCCGCAACGAGCGCAACCCCUGUCCCAUGUUGCCAGCGAUAACGUCGGGGACUCAUGGGAGACUGCCGGCGACAAGUCGGAGGAAGGUGGGGAUGAUGUCAAGUCAUCAUGCCCCUUACGCCCUGGGCUACACACGUGCUACAUUGGCCGGUACAGAGGGCUGCAAACCCGUGAGGGGGAGCGAAUCCCAAAAAGCUGGUCGUAGUCCGGAUCGCAGUCUGCAACUCGGCUGCGUGAAGUCGGAAUCGCUAGUAAUCGUGAAUCAGCGAUGUCACGGUGAAUACGUUCCCGGGC